CCUACGGGAGGCAGCAGUGGGGAAUAUUGGGCAAUGGGCGCAAGCCUGACCCAGCAACGCAGCGUGAAGGAAGAAGGCUUUCGGGUUGUAAACUUCUUUUCUGGGGGACGAACAAAUGACGGUACCCCAGGAAUAAGCCACGGCUAACUACGUGCCAGCAGCCGCGGUAAUACGUAGGUGGCCAGCGUUAUCCGGAUUUAUUGGGUGUAAAGGGCGUGUUGGCGGGAGCGCAAGUCAGAUGUGAAAACUCAGGGCUCAACCGUGAGCCUGCAUUUGAAACUGUGUUUCUUGAGUGCUGGUGAGGCAAGCGGAAUUCCGGGUGUAGCGGUGAAAUGCGUAGAUAUACGGAGGAACACCAGUGGCGAAGGCGGAUUGCUGGACAGUAACUGACACUGAGGCGCGAAAGCGUGGGGAGCAAACAGGAUUAGAUACCCGUGUAGUC
RNAcentral lists this ribosomal RNA (442 nucleotides) under uncultured bacterium. RNAcentral's name for it is "partial 16S ribosomal RNA". It matches the Rfam family "Bacterial small subunit ribosomal RNA", at positions 338 to 795 of the family's 1533-position model. The record is from RNAcentral.